GGAGGCGUUCCCGCUGGUCAACGGCUGAGCGAUGCGCGGACUGUAAAUCCGUCGGCUUAGCCUACCCAGGUUCGAAUCCUGGCGCCGCCA
Molecule: transfer RNA, 90 nt
Filed under: Streptomyces violaceusniger Tu 4113
Lineage: Bacteria; Bacillati; Actinomycetota; Actinomycetes; Kitasatosporales; Streptomycetaceae
Description: tRNA-Tyr (GTA) (tRNA-Tyr-GTA-2-1)
Source: RNAcentral